GACGAACGCUGGCGGUGUGCUUAACACAUGCAAGUCGAACGGUAAGGCCCUUUCGGGGGUACACGAGUGGCGAACGGGUGAGUAACACGUGAGUAACCUGCCCUCAUCUCUGGGAUAACAGUCGGAAACGGUUGCUAAUACUGGAUAUGAGCCUGCAAGGCAUCUUGUGGGUUGGAAAGAUUUUUUGGUUGGGGAUGGACUCGCGGCCUAUCAGCUUGUUGGUGAGGUAGUGGCUCACCAAGGCUUCGACGGGUAGCCGGCCUGAGAGGGCGACCGGCCACAUUGGGACUGAGAUACGGCCCAAACUCCUACGGGAGGCAGCAGUGGGGAAUAUUGCACAAUGGACGGAAGUCUGAUGCAGCAACGCCGCGGGCGGGAGGACGGCCUUCGGGUUGUAAACCGCUUUCAAUUGUGACGAAGCUUUUUGUGACGGUAGCAGUAGAAGAAGCACCGGCUAACUACGUG
Molecule: ribosomal RNA, 465 nt
Filed under: uncultured bacterium
Lineage: Bacteria
Description: partial 16S ribosomal RNA
Rfam family: Bacterial small subunit ribosomal RNA
Source: RNAcentral